GUAGGGUGCAGGCGUUAAUCGGAAUUACUGGGCGUAAAGCGUGCGCAGGCGGUCUGCUAAGAGAGAUGUGAAAUCCCCGGGCUUAACCUGGGAACUGCGUUUCUAACUGGCAGGCUUGAGUGUGGCAGAGGGGGGUGGAAUUCCACGUGUAGCAGUGAAAUGCGUAGAGAUGUGGAGGAACACCGAUGGCGAAGGCAGCCCCCUGGGCUAACACUGACGCUCAUGCACGAAAGCGUGGGGAGCAAACAGGAUUAGAUACCCUGGUAGUCCACGCCCUAAACUAUGUCAACUGGUUGUCGGGGAAGCAAUUCCUUGGUAACGAAGCUAACGCGUGAAGUUGACCGCCUGGGGAGUACGGCCGCAAGGUUA
This 369-nucleotide ribosomal RNA is filed under the name uncultured bacterium. RNAcentral's name for it is "bacterial SSU rRNA". It matches the Rfam family "Bacterial small subunit ribosomal RNA", at positions 527 to 896 of the family's 1533-position model. The record is from RNAcentral.